UACAGAGGGUGCAAGCGUUACUCGGAAUUACUGGGCGUAAAGCGUGCGUAGACGGUUACAUAAGUCGGGUGUGAAAGCCCCGGGCUCAACCUGGGAAUUGCAUUCGAGACUGCGUAGCUAGGGUGCGGAAGAGGGAAGCGGAAUUUCCGGUGUAGCGGUGAAAUGCGCAGAUAUCGGGAGGAACACCGGCGGCGAAGGCGGUUCUCUGGGCCUGUACUGACGCUGAGGAGCGAAAGCGUGGGGAGCGAACAGG
RNAcentral lists this ribosomal RNA (253 nucleotides) under uncultured bacterium. Its description in RNAcentral is "partial 16S ribosomal RNA". It matches the Rfam family "Bacterial small subunit ribosomal RNA", at positions 524 to 776 of the family's 1533-position model. The record is from RNAcentral.